GUGUUGCUUUGUGGAUGCAUGUUACAUAAUAUAAUGGUUUUAGUCAAUGGAGCAUUUUAUGCACAUGUAAAUGACCCUAAUCUCUUUUUUUGGAUACCAAAUGAAAUGACUACAAUCUACAAUUGCUGUUAUUUAGACCUUGUUCUUCAGUUAAUAAUUAAUUGUCUGUCUGAACAAAUAAACCGAAGGUCUAGCCAUGUUGUCCUUGUAUAUAAGAUUCAAGCACAUAUACCAGACAAAUAGAAAGUGAAACACAAAAGACACAAUCACAUGAUAUGCAUCAUACCUCCUUAUAGACGAGAACAAACCUAAAUAAGCACACAGUGACAAAUAAUAAAUAAAUAAAAAACAAGUUAAACCUUAACAUCCUCAAACUAAGUAGUAGCAUAAUAUUCUUCUACUAAAUCCAGAAAGAGAAACGUUCAUGUAGCUUCUCCUCAUCUAUGCAUGUGGUGGUGACCCACCAGCACUUGGGAUGAAAGGUAGUGUAGGAGUUGGAGUAGUGCAGCCACCAGGGUAAGUGCAAAAGAUGGAUGGGCCAAACACAACACCAGUGAAACUAGGGCUUGGAAAUGUCCCAGUCCCACCAAUGCCUCCAAUGAAGUUCUGGGUAUGAUCCACUUUCUCUGCCUCCUUCAGUUUUCUUCCAGCUCCUUCAACAUCUGAAGCAAGGAUCAUCACCAUCAUUGCCAAGGUCAGAAAUAACAGCUUAGACACUAUUUCCAUUUUCAAAGAUUUUCCUCCUAAGUCUCUUGAUACCCAGUAUAU
RNAcentral lists this long non-coding RNA (768 nucleotides) under Lupinus angustifolius (narrow-leaved blue lupine). RNAcentral's name for it is "long non-coding RNA (LANG_LNC002884)". The record is from RNAcentral. Lineage: Eukaryota; Viridiplantae; Streptophyta; Magnoliopsida; Fabales; Fabaceae.